This 495-nucleotide ribosomal RNA is filed under the name uncultured bacterium. Its description in RNAcentral is "partial 16S ribosomal RNA". It matches the Rfam family "Bacterial small subunit ribosomal RNA", at positions 28 to 507 of the family's 1533-position model. The record is from RNAcentral.
GACGAACGCUGGCGGCGUGCCUAAUACAUGCAAGUAGAACGCUGAAGGAGGAGCUUGCUUCUCUGGAUGAGUUGCGAACGGGUGAGUAACGCGUAGGUAAUCUGCCUGGUAGCGGGGGAUAACUAUUGGAAACGAUAGCUAAUACCGCAUAAUAGCAGUUGUUGUAUGACAACUGUUUGAAAGGUGCAAUUGGACCAAUACCAGAUGGACCUGCGUUGUAUUAGCUAGUUGGGGGGGUAACGGCGCACCAAGGCGACGAUACCUAGCCGACCUGAGAAGGUGGUCGGCCACACUGAGACUGAGACACGGCCCAUACUCCUACGGGAGACAGCAGUAGUGAAUCUUCGGCAAUGGACGGAAGUCUGACCGAGCAACGCCGCAUGAGUGAAGAAGGUUGUCGGAUCGUAAAGCUCUGUUGUAAGAGAAGAACGAGUGUGAGAGUGGAAAGUUCACACUGUGACGGUAUCUUAACAGAAAGGGACGGCUAACUACGUG